AAACAUUGAUUGUACCCUACACCUACAAUCCGCCCGGGAAUUACAAACAUNAGUUCAAAACCCAUAGGACUUGGCGGUGCUUUACAUCCACCUAGAGGAGCCUGUUCUAGAACCGAUAACCCCCGUUCAACCUCACCCUCCCUUGUUCCUUUCCGCCUAUAUACCACCGUCGUCAGCUCACCCUGUGAAGGAUUAAUAGUGAGCAAAGUUGGCACAGCCCAAAACGUCAGGUCGAGGUGUAGCGUAUGAGAGGGGAAGANAAUGGGCUACAUUCUCUAAAUUAGAGAACACGAAUGAUGCAUUGAAACAUGCAUGUAU
This 318-nucleotide ribosomal RNA is filed under the name Psettodes erumei (Indian spiny turbot). Its description in RNAcentral is "partial 12S ribosomal RNA". It matches the Rfam family "Bacterial small subunit ribosomal RNA", at positions 801 to 1319 of the family's 1533-position model. Lineage: Eukaryota; Metazoa; Chordata; Actinopteri; Pleuronectiformes; Psettodidae. The record is from RNAcentral.